This is a non-coding RNA of Pongo abelii (Sumatran orangutan), 112 nucleotides long. Lineage: Eukaryota; Metazoa; Chordata; Mammalia; Primates; Hominidae. The record is from Rfam.
GUGUUCGCUUUGGCAGCACAUCUACUAGAACUGGAAUGAUACAGGGAUGAUUGUGGCCCCUGCACAAAGAUGACAUGCACAUUCUUGAAGCAUCCCAACAUAAAACUUAUUU